UACGUAGGGCGCAAGCGUUGUCCGGAAUUAUUGGGCGUAAAGAGCUCGUAGGCGGUUUGUCGCGUCUGCUGUGAAAACCCGAGGCUCAACCUCGGGCCUGCAGUGGGUACGGGCAGACUAGAGUGUGGUAGGGGAGACUGGAAUUCCUGGUGUAGCGGUGGAAUGCGCAGAUAUCAGGAGGAACACCAAUGGCGAAGGCAGGUCUCUGGGCCACUACUGACGCUGAGAAGCGAAAGCAUGGGGAGCGAACAGG
RNAcentral lists this ribosomal RNA (253 nucleotides) under uncultured bacterium. Its description in RNAcentral is "partial 16S ribosomal RNA". It matches the Rfam family "Bacterial small subunit ribosomal RNA", at positions 524 to 776 of the family's 1533-position model. The record is from RNAcentral.